Molecule: ribosomal RNA, 699 nt
Filed under: uncultured bacterium
Lineage: Bacteria
Description: bacterial SSU rRNA
Rfam family: Bacterial small subunit ribosomal RNA
Source: RNAcentral
GGAUACCCGAGGGAAACUUCGGUUAAUACGGUAUAAGACCACACUACCGCAUGGUAGAGGGGUAAAAGGGGCAACCUGGUAUGAGAUGGACUCGCGUCGCAUUAGCUAGUUGGUGAGGUAACGGCCCACCAAGGCGACGAUGCGUAGCCGACCUGAGAGGGUGAUCGGCCACAUUGGGACUGAGAUACGGCCCAGACUCCUACGGGAGGCGGCAGUGGGGAAUAUUGGGCAAUGGAGGAAACUCUGACCCAGCAAUGCCGCGUGAAUGAAGAAGGUCUUCGGAUUGUAAAGUUCUUUAGUCAGGGAAGAAGUCAAUGACGGUACCUGAAGAAUAAGCUCCGGCUAACUACGUGCCAGCAGCCGCGGUAAUACGUAGGGAGCAAGCGUUGUUCGGAAUGACUGGGCGUAAAGGGUGCGUAGGCGGUUGUACAAGUUAGAAGUGAAAUACCCAGGGCUUAACUCGGGUGCUGCUUCUAAAACUGUAUGACUUGAGUGCAGUAGAGGUUAGUGGAAUUCCUAGUGUAGCGGUGGAAUGCGUAGAUAUUAGGAGGAACACCAGAGGCGAAGGCGGCUAACUGGACUGCAACUGACGCUGAGGCACGAAAGUGUGGGGAGCAAACAGGAUUAGAUACCCUGGUAGUCCACACUGUAAACGAUGGAUAGGAGAUGUAGGAGGUAUCGACUCCUUCUGCGUCGCAG